Molecule: long non-coding RNA, 1106 nt
Organism: Sander lucioperca (pikeperch)
Lineage: Eukaryota; Metazoa; Chordata; Actinopteri; Perciformes; Percidae
Exons: 2
Source: RefSeq, a predicted model, not a curated record
UGCAGCGAGAAGCCCUGCCAGAAAUACACGCUGACAGACGCACACAAACAGAUCCUUAUCUUUUCCCCACAGGGCUCCAAUUAUUCUCCAAACUGAUUCCAAUAUAAACCGAAUCAUGAGGACAUGAUCUGUGUUGGUGUGACUCACCGCUGGCCUGCGCAGAUUAGUCACACUUCCUCACAACAUCUGACUGGCUCACUGUUCAUUAAAUCAAGAUGAGUCAGCUGCUGACUUUGACAAGUUGUGGUCGUUUGGCUUUACAGACCAGGCUCCAGUCAAGCCUGAUUUUGGAAGCACUUUCACUCACAGCAACUGUUGCUUUUGUAUAAACCACCCUCUUUGGACAGUCGAUGGGGAUCAAAAUGAUUUUAUACACAGUAAAGCUUUUUAUCAAAUGGAAAACACAGAAAUAAGAACACAAGGGGAUUGUAAUCAGGCCUGUGCAGAUGGCAGGUGAAAAAGGUUAUGGUGUUUUGUGGACAAAUACUCACAUUUACAGCACUAAGCUUCUGUUCUCAGCCCACAAAGCUAUCAGCGGCCCACCAACUGCGAAGAUCUUGAUCAGCGGCCAGCAGAGGGCUCCACCACACUAACCCUCAGCCUCUUCACUUUCACCAGCAGCAGAAUGAACCCAAUAUGCCUUCUGUGAAGCUGCUGGCUGCGGAAAAGCAGUCGGGGGUCGGUACGAAUGAACUUAAUGAGUCAUUCAAAGAUCAUCUGUGAAUCACUGUUUGAGAGUGAAAGCCAGAACGGCCGGCCACUUCAAAUGCAGAGUGGCUUUGGCUCUUUGGUUAGUAAUGAGGCAUAUUUCCCUGUGUUCUCUGCAGCCAUAACCUAUAAACCAGAUUCCCCUUGUCCAGGCAUUAAAGGAACAGAUUAGUAACUAAGUGACUGACAGUCAGAAUGCAUGAAAUGCCCCUUUAAAGACUUUCAAAACUCACUUUUAUAAAUAGUGCUGAAGCAGAUCAAACGGGAUACAGCGGCACACAACAUUUAAAUAAUGCAAAUUAAAGGGUAACACCAUCAAUUCUACACAUGACUAUCAGUUUACUCGUCACAAAUUGUAUUAUUCACACAGUGAAAUAGAGUUGUAAUGUCUUCUCUGG